Molecule: ribosomal RNA, 33 nt
Filed under: Musa hirta
Lineage: Eukaryota; Viridiplantae; Streptophyta; Magnoliopsida; Zingiberales; Musaceae
Description: partial 26S ribosomal RNA
Source: RNAcentral
GCGACCCCAGUGACAGAAAAAGGUCACCAAUUG